CGGGUACCUCCGGCAGGGAUGGUGCCUGCAGGCUCCAGUUUGAGGGAUGGUCCUUUGGGGACGGGGGGGGCGGGGAGUCUGCUGAGAAAUGUGCAUUACAGGCCUGCCUGCUGAUUAGGCUGCUAUCUGUCACUUAUGUGACCGAAAGCUCGGCGCUCUGCACAGAGAUGACGCGGAAUAGUUUGCUGACGACCACAGAUGACUGAGC
Molecule: long non-coding RNA, 208 nt
Filed under: Dasypus novemcinctus (nine-banded armadillo)
Lineage: Eukaryota; Metazoa; Chordata; Mammalia; Cingulata; Dasypodidae
Description: lncRNA (ENSDNOG00000051696.1)
Source: RNAcentral